CUUUACUGUAGCUUUGUAUUGGACUUUGAACAGAUCUGUGUAGGAUAGGUGGGAGGCUUUGAAGCGGUGCCGCUAGGUAUCGUGGAGCCAACGUUGAAAUACCACCCUGGUGUGUUUGAGGUUCUAACCUAGGUCCAUUAUCUGGAUCGGGGACAGUGCAUGGUAGGCAGUUUGACUGGGGCGGUCUCCUCCCAAAGCGUAACGGAGGAGUUCGAAGGUACGCUAGGUACGGUCGGACAUCGUGCUAAUAGUGCAAUGGCAUAAGCGUGCUUAACUGCGAGACUGACAAGUCGAGCAGAUGCGAAAGCAGGACAUAGUGAUCCGGUGGUUCUGUAUGGAAGGGCCAUCGCUCAACGGAUAAAAGGUA
This 367-nucleotide ribosomal RNA is filed under the name uncultured organism. Its description in RNAcentral is "bacterial LSU rRNA". It matches the Rfam family "Bacterial large subunit ribosomal RNA", at positions 2099 to 2465 of the family's 2925-position model. The record is from RNAcentral.